RNAcentral lists this unclassified non-coding RNA (716 nucleotides) under Hevea brasiliensis (rubber tree). Lineage: Eukaryota; Viridiplantae; Streptophyta; Magnoliopsida; Malpighiales; Euphorbiaceae. The record is from RNAcentral.
UGGCACUGCCUCCUGAUGUUGCAGAAUUCCACAUUUGUAAGUAGAUACCAGGAGUUUACAAUGCCAAAAGAAUGGAGUUGAAAGUGUGAAACUCUACUUCUUUUUGAAUGUUACCAUACCAAAGAAUGCCACAAAACGAGUAACCAUGCCGAUGAGGAUGAGAAUGAAUACACAAAGACCCCAGUGAUGGAGAUUAUACCCAGUUUUCAGAAGUGAACCACAACGAGUAAUUAACCACACUCCAUAAUACCUCUCAGCAUUUGCAAUCACAAAUGCUUCCAGAGCCCAUUUUGGGUAGCAUAAAUUAGCUAUGUUCUUCAAGGUAUUACUCUGGUUUGAUUGUGUUGCAAUGAGAGUCAAAACAACUGGAAGAAUAACUGACCACAGUUGGGCCGGACCUGGUUCAAAAAAGAUAGCCAAUGCAUAGGCUAUACCAGUUACACAGUAAAUAAGGCACAGCAGGACAACAUAAUUAUCGGUGAAGGAAGACCUUGGGUUUGUGAAAGAAUAGAACAUAGAGAGAUACAGUACAGGCUUAAUCACUGUAUUAAAAUGAUCAAUUGUAUCCUUGGCAAGAAAGUAAGCCAAGCUGCUGAUGCCAGAUGCGCUCUCUCUCCAGUAUUGUAACUUAUCAAGAGAAAACGAUCUCAAAGCCGCAAUUUUGCAAAGGAGAGAAACUGCAAUAAUGGUAUAUGUGUAACCAGCAGCCCCAAAAG